This 468-nucleotide ribosomal RNA is filed under the name uncultured bacterium. RNAcentral describes it as "partial 16S ribosomal RNA". It matches the Rfam family "Bacterial small subunit ribosomal RNA", at positions 28 to 507 of the family's 1533-position model. The record is from RNAcentral.
GACGAACGCUGGCGGCGUGCUUAACACAUGCAAGUCGAACGGAAAGGCCCUGCUUUUGUGGGGUGCUCGAGUGGCGAACGGGUGAGUAACACGUGAGUAACCUGCCCUUGACUUUGGGAUAACUUCAGGAAACUGGGGCUAAUACCGGAUAGGAGCUCCUGCUGCAUGGUGGGGGUUGGAAAGUUUCGGCGGUUGGGGAUGGACUCGCGGCUUAUGAGCUUGUUGGUGGGGUAGUGGCUUACCAAGGCUUUGACGGGUAGCCGGCCUGAGAGGGUGACCGGGGACAUGGCGACUGAGGUACGGCCCAGACGCCUACGGGAGGCAGCAGUGGGGAGUAUGGCACAACGGGCCGACGCCUGAUACAGCAACGUCGGGUUCGUGAUGACGGCCUUCUGGUUGUAAACCGCUGUAGCUUGUGACGAAGCGGGAGUGACGGUAAUGGGUGAAGAAGCACCGGCUAACUACGUG